RNAcentral lists this long non-coding RNA (200 nucleotides) under Brassica napus (rape). RNAcentral's name for it is "long non-coding RNA (BNAP_LNC000759)". The record is from RNAcentral. Lineage: Eukaryota; Viridiplantae; Streptophyta; Magnoliopsida; Brassicales; Brassicaceae.
CCCAACAUCGGUAUAGUAGUAGUAGUUGUAGUAAAUUAGGUCAAAGGAUCUUAUCGCUCUGAUACCAUGUUAGAUUCGGGUUUAUUAUGGGCUUCCAACUCAAAACCAAUUGGCAAUUAGUGGAUUGGCCCUAACCCUUUAUAUAGUAGUAGAUUAAUUCUUAUAUAUCCGAUGUGGGAUGUUUCUCAUCAAUACCCUCC